GACGCAAGCUGGCGGAGUGCCUAAUACAUGCAAGUAGAACGCAGUUGAGAAUGGGUGCGUAACGCUUAGGUAACUGCCUCAUAGAGGGGGAUAAAUAUUGGAAACGAUAGCUAAUACCGCAUACUGUGAGAUGGACCUGCGUUUUAUUAGCUAGUUGGUGCGGUAAAGGCUCACCAAGGCGACGAUACAUGACCGACCUGAGAGUGUGAUCGGGCACACUGUGACUGAGACGCGGCCCAGACUCCUACGGGAGGCUGCAGUAGGGAAUCUGCGGCAAUGGCCGGAAGUCUGAACAAGCAACGGCGCGUGAGUGAAGAAGGUUUUCGGAUCGUAAAGCUCUGUUGUUAGAGAAGCGGUAACUAACCAGGAAGGUACGGCUAACUACUUGCUAGCAGCCGCGGUAAUUC
RNAcentral lists this ribosomal RNA (407 nucleotides) under uncultured bacterium. RNAcentral's name for it is "partial 16S ribosomal RNA". It matches the Rfam family "Bacterial small subunit ribosomal RNA", at positions 28 to 526 of the family's 1533-position model. The record is from RNAcentral.